This 397-nucleotide ribosomal RNA is filed under the name uncultured bacterium. RNAcentral's name for it is "bacterial SSU rRNA". It matches the Rfam family "Bacterial small subunit ribosomal RNA", at positions 355 to 768 of the family's 1533-position model. The record is from RNAcentral.
CAGGGAAUCUUGCACAAUGGGCGAAAGCCUGAUGCAGCGACGCCGCGUGGGGGAUGAAGGCCCUAGGGUCGUAAACCCCUUUCAGCAGGGACGAAAAUGACGGUACCUGCAGAAGAAGCCCCGGCCAAUUCCGUGCCAGCAGCCGCGGUAAGACGGAAGGUGCAAGCGUUGCUCGGAAUCACUGGGCGUAAAGGGUGCGUAGGCGGCCUCGUAAGUCUGACGUGAAAGCCCCGGGCUCAGCCCGGGGAAGUGCGCUAGAAACUGUGAGGCUCGAGUGCCGGAGGGGAGAGUGGAAUUCCUGGUGUAGCGGUGAAAUGCGUAGAUAUCAGGAGGAAUACCGGUGGCGAAAGCGACUCUCUGGACGGCAACUGACGCUGAGGCACGAAAGCGUGGGGAG